AUUGAACGCUGGCGGAAUGCUUUACGCAUGCAAGUCGAGCGGCAGCGCGGGGCAACCUGGCGGCGAGCGGCGAACGGGUGAGUAAUGCAUCGGAACGUACCCAAUUGUGGGGGAUAACUAUCCGAAAGGAUAGCUAAUACCGCAUAAGUCCUGAGGGAGAAAGCGGGGGAUCGCAAGACCUCGCGCGAUUGGAGCGGCCGAUGCCGGAUUAGCUAGUUGGUAGGGUAAAGGCCUACCAAGGCGACGAUCCGUAGCUGGUCUGAGAGGAUGAUCAGCCACACUGGAACUGAGACACGGUCCAGACUCCUACGGGAGGCAGCAGUGGGGAAGUUUGGACAAUGGGGGCAACCCUGAUCCAGCCAUUCCGCGUGAGCGAAGAAGGCCUUCGGGUUGUAAAGCUCUUUCGGCAGGAACGAAACGGUUUGGGUUAAUACCCUGAGCUAAUGACGGUACCUGAAGAAGAAGCACCGGCUAACUACGUGCCAGCAGCCGCAGUAA
RNAcentral lists this ribosomal RNA (498 nucleotides) under uncultured bacterium. RNAcentral describes it as "partial 16S ribosomal RNA". It matches the Rfam family "Bacterial small subunit ribosomal RNA", at positions 29 to 523 of the family's 1533-position model. The record is from RNAcentral.